RNAcentral lists this ribosomal RNA (253 nucleotides) under uncultured bacterium. Its description in RNAcentral is "partial 16S ribosomal RNA". It matches the Rfam family "Bacterial small subunit ribosomal RNA", at positions 524 to 776 of the family's 1533-position model. The record is from RNAcentral.
UACGUAGGGUGCAAGCGUUGUCCGGAAUUAUUGGGCGUAAAGAGCUCGUAGGCGGCCUGUCGCGUCUGCUGUGAAAGCCCGGGGCUCAACCCCGGGUCUGCAGUGGAUACGGGCAGGCUAGAGUCCGGCAGGGGAGACUGGAAUUCCUGGUGUAGCGGUGAAAUGCGCAGAUAUCAGGAGGAACACCGGUGGCGAAGGCGGCGCUCUGGGCCGGAACUGACGCUGAGGAGCGAAAGCGUGGGUAGCAAACAGG